Molecule: ribosomal RNA, 365 nt
Filed under: uncultured fungus
Lineage: Eukaryota; Fungi
Description: eukaryotic LSU rRNA
Rfam family: Eukaryotic large subunit ribosomal RNA
Source: RNAcentral
AUAUCAAUAAGCGGAGGAAAAGAAACUAACAAGGAUUCCCCUAGUAACGGCGAGUGAAGCGGGAAGAGCUCAAAUUUGAAAUCUGGCGGCCUACGGUCGUCCGAGUUGUAAUCUAGAGAGGUGUUUUCCGUGCCGGACCGUGUACAAGUCCCUUGGAACAGGGCGUCAUAGAGGGUGAGAAUCCCGUCCAUGACACGGACUGCCGGUGCUCUGCGAUACACCUUCAAAGAGUCGAGUUGUUUGGGAAUGCAGCUCAAAAUGGGUGGUAAAUUCCAUCUAAAGCUAAAUACAGGCGAGAGACCGAUAGCGAACAAGUACCGUGAGGGAAAGAUGAAAAGAACUUUGGAAAGAGAGUUAAACAGUAC